GGUAGGGAUACCCGCUGAACUUAAGC
This 26-nucleotide ribosomal RNA is filed under the name Cladonia subturgida. RNAcentral describes it as "partial 28S ribosomal RNA". The record is from RNAcentral. Lineage: Eukaryota; Fungi; Ascomycota; Lecanoromycetes; Lecanorales; Cladoniaceae.